This 332-nucleotide long non-coding RNA is filed under the name Nicotiana benthamiana. RNAcentral's name for it is "long non-coding RNA (NBEN_LNC010781)". Lineage: Eukaryota; Viridiplantae; Streptophyta; Magnoliopsida; Solanales; Solanaceae. The record is from RNAcentral.
AAGAAUUUCUAUCGAAAAAGUUAAAAUUUAAACUGCGGCGAAAACCUGGGUAGCGAAUGGUUGACUAGCGGAUGGUGUUAUUUUGGUGGUGGUUAUGGAGUAGCCUAAGUUUUAGAGCUGCUUAAUUUAUAGGAAACACCAUUUAUUUGUCCGUUCCCUUCAUCAUUUUUUCACUCUGUUUCAUGACCUCCCUAUUGUUCUGCUACUGUCGUUCCGCUAGGUCUCAAUUUUGGGAGAUGAUCACUGAUUUUGUUUUUUGUUUGUUGUUAUUAAACUGUAUUUGUAAAACAGUUCUGGAAAUAUAAUUAAUAUAUGCGGAAAUUAUGAUAAAC